AAUUGCAGAAUUCAGGUGGAAUCAUCGAAAUCUUUGAACGCACCUUGCGCCCUUUGGCUAUUCCGAAGGGCAUGCCUGUUUUGAGUAUCAUG
Molecule: ribosomal RNA, 92 nt
Filed under: uncultured fungus
Lineage: Eukaryota; Fungi
Description: partial 5.8S ribosomal RNA
Rfam family: 5.8S ribosomal RNA
About the family: 5.8S ribosomal RNA (5.8S rRNA) is a component of the large subunit of the eukaryotic ribosome.
Source: RNAcentral